UAUCUAUUUACAUUACUUGCAUGCGUGCUAGUUUACAAGUUUAAUAUGUCUUUUCUUUUUAACCUUGUUGUAGUGGGUGCCUGUAGUAAUGUCACUGCUAAAUUUGUUCUUUUUUUCGCUUUUACAUGAUAUUUCCAGGUAAGCCUUAUAUCUAUGUGUAACCCCAGGUAUUUCACAUGAUCACUAACAGGUAUGGCUGUAUUAAAAAUUUUGAUUGAAGGACAAUCACCAUUUCUUAGGGCAAAAGUAACAUGGACAGAUUUAUCUGAAUUGACUUUAAUGUUCCACAUCUUGAGCCAGUCUUCUAGUUGGAAUAAGUAAUCAUAGACAACUUGAUACGAGACUCUUUGGUUCGAGAGAGAGCUGUCAAAACUCGCAUUUUUUAUAACAUUUGCCAAUGAUGCCAUUGCUGAAAAAUAUUAGAGUGGGUAUAUAAUAAAUUAUACAAAACACUAAAUUAAACACUUUGAAAAUGCAUACAUAUAUAAAUGCUAAAAUGCAAAAUCAUUAAUUAAUUUACAUAAACAUUUAUUUUGCCAAAAUAUGUUCGCACAGUUCAAUGAAAUUUCAUUUCACACUAAUUUCGUCAAGUAAUUAUAGCGCUGCUCUUCUGGCAUCCCGCCUUUUUGACUAACUGCUGAUUGGCGGCACCCUGAUUGUGUUUUGUUGCCAGCUCAAAAAACAGAUCAGGGUGCAAUGCCAGCUGACAAGCGAGAAAGCAAGAAAAGAGAUUCUGAUCAAGUUAUCUAUUUAGGACUGCAGUGUCAUCAGCGAAUAUUGCUAUCGUAACCACGGUAGAGGAGGAGUAGAGAAAGUAUCAGCUGAUGUUAUGUAAACAAAGGCACAGCUGAGAGGUGCCACUGUAGAAACGUCGAGUGUACUCCGGGGUUGAGUUUCUAUUGGAAUCCAAGAUGGUCGACUUUUAACCAAGAUGGCCGACUUUUUUACCGGAAAAUGGUUGCAUUGUGUUAUUUUCUUAAAUUUUAUGGAAAAGUUGUCCCAAAAAUAUUGGUUAUAUAUAAAACUUUAAUAUAUUUUCAAAAGAAAUUUGUUUUAUUUUAAUAUAUAUUCUCAAAGAUGAGAACAAUAUGAGCAAAUACAUGAAAAAUUGAGUUUUUUAUUUAUGCCUCUUUUUAACUGUGGUAAAUCAAUAAAUGUUCACCACAGAAAAAUGUUACGAACAAAUAAGCAACCAUGCCGAAUAGUGGGGUCUAGAUUAUGCUCAUUCACAGCCAUAUUUACAUUUUUGCCAUCGUAACGAAGGUUUUUGCAAGACAAUUUGUUUUACUUUAUUUCAUGGUUAAAUCCUUUACUAUGGUUUAUUUAGUUAUUUUAAUCUAUAAAAAGUGUUUACAAUUUUCAUGGGACGAUAAACAUCAGAUCGGCUGCGAUUUUAUUCCAAUAAAAGUACGAAAUAACCAAACAUGGCCACGUUAAUAUUGCUGCGUAAUGGGUCUGGUGCUGUUACAAUUUUAUGAUUUAAGAGAUAGUCAAAUGUAGUUAUCAAAUUAGUUGGCCGUGAAUUCGAGACAAAAUUUUAAAUUCAAUGGCGUUCUCGUGUAAGAGAUCGCAUGGCACAAUUCCGAUUACUUUGGCGCCGCGAUCUGAAGGUACCGUUGGAAAGAGGAAGUCCUCCUGAUUAAAAAAUAUAUAGGGUUAUAGGGUCCGCAAACGCUUAGUUUACGAGAUAUUCGACCUUAAAGUCCGAAAAAUCGCAAAAUUGGACCAUUUCAAGACGCUAUUUCACCACAUUAAACGCACUUUUUUCACAUUUUUCACUUCAAAUUAAUUAAUUUACACUAUUAACUUUUAAAUAAAACCACAUUUUACACAUUUAACAGGUUUUUUACCUAAAAAAUCUUUAUUUUAAAAAUUACAUUUUACACUUGUUUGAACCUCAUUUGUUUACCAAAAAUUACGACGAAAUGGAGCGCUGCCAUGUGAUGAUAAGGCAAUUCGUGAAAUUCCUCUUUUUUCGCAAAAAUUCCUCUAUUCAUGCAUAUGGAUAUUUUCUUGUAUAAAUUUAUUAAGCAAAUAAGCAAUAUUAUAUACGGUAAAUGUUCAGCAGAGCGGCUUUUCCGAAAACGUGCACCAAUUUUCACGGGAAUUGUCUUAAAAAAUUCGUUUUUAAUUCCGAUUCACGAAUAUGUAUGGCGCGUUAUUUAAUUUUAUGUUAUUAAUUGGAAAAAUAAAAAGAAAUUAAAAUAUCGAUAUUCUCAAUAUUCGAGUCAGAAAGAAAAUUUGUAAAAAUGAGAAAUACAUAUUAUAAAAAUAAUAAUAAUUGGAAAAAUAAAAAGAAAUAAAAAUAUCGAUAUUCGCAAUAUACGAGUCUGAUCGUGAAUUGGCAAAAAUGAGAAAUACAUAGUAGGAAAAUUUAUAAUUAAUUAUUAUUGCAGAAAGAAGAAGAAUUUGGACACAGAAGAAUUUUGAACACCGGGGUUUUGGACCGACCAGGGAUAUUAUUUUUCGAGCGCUCGAAAUUGCGAAUAUCGAUAUAAAAACGCUGUGAAACGCUAAAAAAUUCUUCACUUUUGGUUUUUAAGGUGUGGCAACGCUGGUUUUCCUCGUAAAUAUAAACACUCUAAACUUUUCAGCCAUAAAUUUUAUAUGUGAUUUUAAAUUACUAAAUUUGGCUGAAAAAUUAAGAAAUGAAAGUGAAAAUCGAACUGAUUUCAAUGUUAAGAGUGUAUAUUUAAUUAUAGUGAAAGAAAAACGUGAAAAAUUCUGUGAAACAUGGAGAAAUAACAUGUGUUCUUAGUGCGAAUUUUUGAUUUUUUAAACGUGAAUAUUUUUAAAAAUAUUAGCUAUUUUCACAUGAUUUUUGGAUAUUCCACCUCUAUAGAAGCCCCCCUAUCCGUACAUACCCCAUUUAUACGGAAAUUCGGUUUUUUUACCCCGCCGCCAAAGUAAUCGGAAUCGUGCCGAUCGCAUUGCUAGAAUCAGCAAAGGAGCUGGUGUAGAACGCUAGUCCCAAACCAAUGAGCUUUGUGCUUGAGGGUGGAAGCAACUUUUUGAAGAGCAAAUACUACGGUGAGCACAUUCGGAUGUUGCAUAACCUGUUGUAAAUUGCGCUUAGAAUCCCGGUACUGCUGGUCAGGUUUAUCAGGCUGUUGGGUCAAAGCGUUACAAGUUGAGCGAAUUAAUUGACUGGUUUCAUCGUGUUAUGCGCAAAGAUGAAAAAUGGUGGGGAUACCGUCAUUGAGACAUGUGUUGUGAUCCUACCUUCUUAUUGAAAGCCAACUUCACGAAUGUAUUACCGAUGUCGUUCCCUCCAACAUACCGUGGUUGAAGAAUUUUGGUGUACAAUCAAUGGAAGAGCAAGUACCAUGAGAAUUAUGACCAUAUCGUGCUGCGCAAUAUUAUGAUGCCGAAUUGGAGAGUGGGGGGAACCAGCUCCACCAAAACCGAUAGAACAUCGGGAUGAACUACGCAAAUAAUAAACAACACUCAUCAAAUGAAAGUUGGCAGCGUUGGUGACUAAGCAGCAAUUUGAAAAAGAAACAUUUGCAUCUACGCGAAUUACAAUUCGUCUUUACAUCUAGUGAAUUAUGGUCGAUUAUGAAUGGUGUGGAAGUUGAUAUUUAAACUUUAAAAAACAAAUAAAUGUAAUUUGGCUAAUAUUGAUAUUUAAACUUUAAAAAACAAAUAAAUGUAAUUUGGCUAAUAAUGAGCCGCUAUUAAAAGUUAAGGAAUUUGAGUUGUAUUUUUAAUUGGGCCAAACAAGUUAUUAUCGAUUUGAAUAACUUCAAAAGGAAUAUAUUUCGAACAAUCAUUUAUUUUUUUAAAUACUAUGGCGGUAUCGCUACUGAGCAUGGCAAAAUAGUGUUGCGUGAGCUAAUUUAAACUACUUUUUACUACUAUAUAGAUAUUGCAAAUUCAAAAAAUAAUUUCUUUAAAAUUCCUUUUUAUUUAAAAACUUAGCUUAGAACUAAAAAAUAGUGUGGUAAAUCUGUUGGGAUAAUCAAACACUCCAUUUGGGAAUGAGUAGGAUUCCUGAUCGCCGGCGUAUAGCUAAAUUCUGACAUUUAAAACGUGUACGUAGUUUGUGAUUACAAAAAUUUAUAAUUAAAAUAUAGAAAACAUGGCUAUUAUAAUUAUCUCUUGAUUUAUCUUACAAUAAAAAAUGUGUUUUACUGUUCAGACGAAUUGUUAUGCAUUUUCGCUUUCUGCAACCCGUUUUAACCUCUCGCCACCCUUAUUCACCAGAGGUGGCCAUGAUGUUGUUAUUGUAAAAGUACACUUGAGGGGUAGCUUAAGUACUGUGAAUGGCUCUUUUUCUAUGGUGAAUGGGACUUUCCCUACUCCUCUAUACCAUGAUCGUAACAUCGUUG
Long non-coding RNA from Bactrocera dorsalis (oriental fruit fly), 4331 nucleotides. RefSeq lists it as uncharacterized. The transcript has 5 exons. The record is from RefSeq and is a predicted model, not a curated record. NCBI's taxonomy places the organism in Eukaryota, Metazoa, Arthropoda, Insecta, Diptera, Tephritidae.